AGGGGCUCAGCAGGCGCGAAAACUUUACAAUGCGAGAAAUCGUGAUAAGGGAACCCCGAGUGCCCGUAAAUUCGGGCUGUCCGUCAGUGUAAAUAACUGGCGAAGAAAGGGCCGGGCAAGACCGGUGCCAGCCGCCGCGGUAAUACCGGCGGCUCGAGUGGUGGCCGCUAUUACUGGGCUUAAAGCGUCCGUAGCUGGGUUGUUAAGUCUCCUGGGAAAUCCACCGGCUCAACCGAUGGGCGUUCAGGAGAUACUGGCAACCUAGGGACCGGGAGAGGUGAGAGGUACUCCAGGGGUAGGAGUGAAAUCCUGUAAUCCUUGGGGGACCACCUGUGGCGAAGGCGUCUCACCAGAACGGCUCCGACAGUGAGGGACGAAAGCUGGGGGAGCAAACCGGAUUAGAUACCCGGGUAGUCCCAGCUGUAAACGAUGCGCGUUAGGUGUAUCGGUGACCACGAGUCACCGAGGUGCCGAAGAGAAAUCGUGAAACGUGCCGCCUGGGAAGUACGGUCGCAAGGCUGAAACUUAAAGGAAUUGGCGGGGGAGCAC
This 549-nucleotide ribosomal RNA is filed under the name uncultured archaeon. RNAcentral's name for it is "bacterial SSU rRNA". It matches the Rfam family "Archaeal small subunit ribosomal RNA", at positions 326 to 879 of the family's 1478-position model. The record is from RNAcentral.